This 839-nucleotide ribosomal RNA is filed under the name uncultured bacterium. RNAcentral describes it as "bacterial SSU rRNA". It matches the Rfam family "Bacterial small subunit ribosomal RNA", at positions 56 to 936 of the family's 1533-position model. The record is from RNAcentral.
UGCAGUCGUACGAGAGUUUUUAACUCAAGUGGCGGACGGGUGAGUAACACGUAAGAAUUUGCCUUUAGGAGGGGGAYAACAACUGGAAACGGUUGCUAAUACCCCAUAUGCUUUCGAGUGAAAUGGAUUUUCCGCCUARAGAGAAGCUUGCGGCUGAUUAGCUUGUUGGURAGGUAAUGGCUUACCAAGGCGACGAUCAGUAUCUGGUUUGAGAGGAYGAUCAGACACACUGGAACUGAGACACGGUCCAGACUCCUACGGGAGGCAGCAGUGGGGAAUUUUCCGCAAUGGGCGAAAGCCUGACGGAGCAAUCUCGCGUGAGGGAUGACGGCCUAUGGGUUGUAAACCUCUUUUUUCAGGGAGGAAUMAAUGACGUGUACCUGAAGAAUAAGCAUCGGCUAACUCCGUGCCAGCAGCCGCGGUAAGACGGAGGAUGCAAGUGUUAUCCGGAAUCACUGGGCGUAAAGCGUCUGUAGGUGGUUUAAUAAGUCAACUGUUAAAUCUUGAAGCUCAACUUCAAAAUCGCAGUCGAAACUAUUAGACUAGAGUAUAGUAGGGGUAAAGGGAAUUUCCAGUGGAGCGGUGAAAUGCGUAGAGAUUGGAAAGAACACCGAUGGCGAAGGCACUUUACUGGGCUAUUACURACACUCAGAGACGAAAGCUAGGGUAGCAAAUGGGAUUAGAUACCCCAGUAGUCCUAGCCGUAAACAAUGGAUACUAGAUGUUGAACAGAUCGACCUGUGCAGUAUUAAAGCUAACGCGUUAAGUAUCCCGCCUGGGAAGUAUGCUCGCAAGAGUGAAACUCAAAGGAAUUNGANGGGGCCCGCACAAGCGGUGGA